UAUGUAUUGGCUGUUAUGUAAGUGAGAGUAUAUUAAAGAUAGUAGAAAAGUCUUAGGGUGAUUAAUAGUUACAGUAUGCGUGUUAUAUGUAUAAAAUAUAUUAAAUAAUAAAAAUUAUGAAUCUUAUUAGUGAGUUGAAAUAAAUAAAUAGAUAUUAAAAGAUUUAAAAAAUUCAUUUAACCUGUAUCAUUAAUGGGUGGGUGCGUGUGUGUAGUCUUUUGGCGCGUGACUGUGGUGAACCAAACCUGUGGUGUAACGACCCGGAACUUGAAAGUAAAUAACUUAUAAAUUAAUUGCAGAAGCGAACUAAUAGUGCUAGGGUUUACAUACCAUACAUAAUAAUUCUAAAUACCCAAUAGGGUAUGAGAAUGACCAUUUUAAAAGAACAACGGAAAAUCAAAUAAAUAAAUAGAAAAUAAACAAUUAAACAUCCUAUUCGAAACCCUCUUGUGGAUUGGGAUCUGGAUCUUGGUCCUAUUGAUCUGAAAUGAUUAAUAAACGAAUGAGCUACAUUAACCUAGUAAGAAUAUCACGCUACUCACUGAUACAAGAAUUAAGGUUGGUAAAAAUCAUGAAAACUACUAAUGAAGUUAUUAAUUUAAGUAAAUUCAUUAUCAUAAAUAAAAUUAUUUAUUAUACAUUUACCGUAACAAAAUUUUCAAAACUAACCUACAGAGGCAAUAACACGACAAUAUCAUAAUUUCACAUCCAAUUAAGUAAAAAUAACAACUUUUUCAUUUUAUCUGCCUACUAGUAUACGUUGAGGUCCAUAGGGAUGUCCCUACUACGCGUGAAUCCUUAUUUAACAGUUUCAAGUAACCGGUCGUCCCCAUACCACGUCCGGUGUAAGCGCAAAAAAUAUCAUUCCUCAAUAUCUCGUACGGUAUGAGCGCCAUAAUACCAAUUCUCGAUACCCCAUCUAAUAUGAGGUAAUGUUCACGGUAGGGUUCCUUAUGCACCCGGUCCGUCUACCAUCUAUCAGGAUAUCUAAUAAGGUUACCAUUUAUUUAAUCACUUAAUCCAACAAUUCUCCGUUUAUAUUUAAUUUUCAGUUUUACAAUUUAACUGUAGAUCACGCAAAAUAAGCAAUAAAUUCAUCAAGGAAACACAACUGAAUCAUCAUACCAACUCCAGUGUAAUAUUAUGCAUUUGAAAUAGUAAAAUCAAUCAAACAGGAUCAACAGUAAAUAAUAACCAGUUCUGACUCCAUUAGUAAUUUGUGAUUAAUUAUCGUAAUUUUUUAAAUUACGCAAAAUACCGUAUUAUUUAUAAUUAGACUUCAAUUCUAUAACAAAGAAUAGGAUGAGAGAUUUUUAUCCAAACUGGUAUCCGAAUGUUAAACUUUCAGUUACUCCUGCUGGCAGUCUCUAGGUUCCCUGAAUUUUUAUUCGGAGAUUAAAACACUUUUCAAAUACCUAUAAAUACACUAAAAACCUAAAAUCAGUAUUAGAAACCUUUUUCAGCCAAUUUUGGGAUUCCGACACGGCAGCAGCGCUGUGCUCCGGCAAUGGCACUGNNNNN
Molecule: long non-coding RNA, 1521 nt
Filed under: Carica papaya (papaya)
Lineage: Eukaryota; Viridiplantae; Streptophyta; Magnoliopsida; Brassicales; Caricaceae
Description: long non-coding RNA (CPAP_LNC004367)
Source: RNAcentral